CGUGGUAUCCUAGUUGGAAGAGAUAUAUUGAAGAGCAAUCUAGGAAAUGUUAUACGCAAUAGACAAAACACAAGGAUAUGGCAAGAUUCAUGGAUCGACCUAGACACGCCAACUAAACCGUUUGGACCUAUCCUUGAAGCAGGCCUCGAUCUCAGAGUAUCAGAUCUCUUAACAUCAUAGCUUAAGUGGAACAAUUAGAGAAUUCACGAAAUCCUACCUGAUAUGGCGGAGAGGAUUCAAUGUCUGAAGUCAAGUUUGCUAAAUACUGAAGAUUCAUACACUUGGAUCCCCCUCAAGACUGGAACUUACACAAUGAAAUCAUGUUACUACUCAAUAAUGUCAUCAAAUCAUGACACUAGAAGGCCAAUAAUUAUUGGAAAAUUUAAGUGGCACAUAAAUAUCUGGACUGGAGGUUUUUCCCCUAAACUAAAAGUCUCCAUGUGGUCUUGUAUACAUAAGGCUCCACCUGUGGGAGAGAACCUCCGCAGACGUGGUAUUGCUGAUGUUGGAUGCCUGCGCUCUGGAGAAUAUGAAUCAACUGAACAUAUGCUCUUCUCCUGUUUGUUUGCAAUACAAGUUUGGAAUCAAGUACCCAUCCUAAACACAACUCACAUAGCUGCUUUUAUAGACAAGGGAAUCUCUAGUAAGAUCUAGAGCAAUGUUUUGUCUUCCUCCCUCUGGAAUCACGGGAAACAUCCUCCCUUAUAUCUGCUGGGCCAUUUGGACAGCGCAUAAUCGACUGAUAUUCGAACAAGCAGGAUCCCUUCCAGAUGAAAUGACACUUAGAGGUAUCUUAGCGGGAAAAGAGUGGAACCAAGCACGUCACACAUACGCAACGAAAAGGACGAUAAAACCAUCAUCACCAACAAACAACACAAGCCAGAGAUCAUAUUACUUGCCACACAGACGCAGCUUGGGACAAAACCUUGAAUAGGGCUGGACUAGCAUGGAUCUUCAGAGGACCCUCCCUGACAAGCAAUCAACAAGAUUCCGAGACUCAUAACCAUGUAGUGUCCCCUUUGAUGGCAGAAGCUCUAGCAAUUUGAUCAUCCUUCCUCAUGGCAGCUUUGUUUGGGUUCACAAAGCUCAGCAUCAACUCUGACAGUAAAACGCUUAUUAGUGCAAUCAACCACAAGCAAUCGAUCAAGAAAAUCUAUGGUGUUCUUACGGAUCUCUUCAUUGUGUGUUUAUCUAUCUUUUAGUUUCAUUCAUAGAUCGCAGAAUGAAGAAGCCGAUGCUUUGGCUAAGGCAGAACUCAAACUCUCUUAUUGUAAUUUGGAACACGUUUUGGGCUAAACUCUCUUUGGACUCCUCUCUUUAUCUUAAUCUAAGUACCGGUUGAUCAAAACAAAAAAUUCAUUUUUAGAGGUGAUACUAAAGAAUGAUUUACAAAC
RNAcentral lists this long non-coding RNA (1394 nucleotides) under Brassica napus (rape). RNAcentral describes it as "long non-coding RNA (BNAP_LNC017265)". Lineage: Eukaryota; Viridiplantae; Streptophyta; Magnoliopsida; Brassicales; Brassicaceae. The record is from RNAcentral.